This 500-nucleotide ribosomal RNA is filed under the name uncultured bacterium. Its description in RNAcentral is "partial 16S ribosomal RNA". It matches the Rfam family "Bacterial small subunit ribosomal RNA", at positions 30 to 523 of the family's 1533-position model. The record is from RNAcentral.
AUUGAACGCUGGCGGCAGGCCUAACACAUGCAAGUCGAGCGGUAGAGAGAAGCUUGCUUCUCUUGAGAGCGGCGGACGGGUGAGUAAUGCCUAGGAAUCUGCCUGGUAGUGGGGGAUAACGUUCGGAAACGGACGCUAAUACCGCAUACGUCCUACGGGAGAAAGCAGGGGACCUUCGGGCCUUGCGCUAUCAGAUGAGCCUAGGUCGGAUUAGCUAGUUGGUGGGGUAAUGGCUCACCAAGGCGACGAUCCGUAACUGGUCUGAGAGGAUGAUCAGUCACACUGGAACUGAGACACAGUCCAGACUCCUACGGGAGGCAGCAGUGGGGAAUAUUGGACAAUGGGCGAAAGCCUGAUCCAGCCAUGCCGCGUGUGUGAAGAAGGUCUUCGGAUUGUAAAGCACUUUAAGUUGGGAGGAAGGGCAGUAAAUUAAUACUUUGCUGUUUUGACGUUACCGACAGAAUAAGCACCGGCUAACUCUGUGCCAGCCGCCGCAGUAA